GCGGCGUGCUUAACACAUGCAAGUCGAACGAACCUUCGGGUUAGUGGCGGACGGGUGAGUAACGCGUGGGAAUCUGCCCUCAGGAGGGGGAUAACGGUUGGAAACGACCGCUAAUACCCCAUAUGCCGAGAGGUGAAAUGAAUUUCGCCUGAGGAUGAGCCCGCGUCUGAUUAGCUUGUUGGUGAGGUAAUGGCUCACCAAGGCAUCGAUCAGUAGCUGGUCUGAGAGGAUGAUCAGCCACACUGGGACUGAGACACGGCCCAGACUCCUACGGGAGGCAGCAGUGGGGAAUUUUCCGCAAUGGGCGAAAGCCUGACGGAGCAACGCCGCGUGAGGGACGAAGGCCUCUGGGCUGUAAACCUCUUUUCUCAAGGAAGAAGAUAUGACGGUACUUGAGGAAUAAGCCACGGCUAAUUCCGUGCCAGCAGCCGCGGUAAUACGGGAGUGGCAAGCGUUAUCCGGAAUUAUUGGGCGUAAAGCGUCCGCAGGCGGCCUUUCAAGUCUGCUGUUAAAGCGUGGAGCUUAACUCCAUCAUGGCAGUGGAAACUGAUUGGCUUGAGUAUGGUAGGGGCAGAGGGAAUUCCCGGUGUAGCGGUGAAAUGCGUAGAUAUCGGGAAGAACACCAGUGGCGAAGGCGCUCUGCUGGGCCAUUACUGACGCUCAUGGACGAAAGCCAGGGGAGCGAAAGGGAUUAGAUACCCCUGUAGUCCUGGCCGUAAACGAUGAACACUAGGUGUCGGGGGAAUCGACCCCUUCGGUGUCGUANCUAACGCGUUAAGUGUUCCGCCUGGGG
RNAcentral lists this ribosomal RNA (793 nucleotides) under uncultured Prochlorococcus sp. RNAcentral describes it as "SSU rRNA". It matches the Rfam family "Bacterial small subunit ribosomal RNA", at positions 39 to 878 of the family's 1533-position model. The record is from RNAcentral. Lineage: Bacteria; Bacillati; Cyanobacteriota; Cyanophyceae; Synechococcales; Prochlorococcaceae.